UCCGCUCUCUGGCCGGGCUUGGGCUGCGUGGAGAAUACUUUUUGCGAUGCCUACUGGAGACUUUGAUUCGAAGCCCAGUUGGGCCGACCAGGUGGAGGAGGAGGGGGAAGACGACAAAUGUGUCACCAGCGAGCUCCUCACGGGGAUCCCUCUGGCCACAGGUGACACCAGCCCAGAGCCAGAGCUACUGCCGGGAGGUGAGUGAGGAUGGCCACUCCGUGUCCGGGCUGCCUCUCCCUCCAGCCCUGCCGCUCCUGAUCCCCAUGACCCAGGGCUCAGUCCUUCUCUGUUUUUCCCCUUCUCCCAGCUCCACUGCCGCCUCCCAAGGAGGUCAUCAACGGAAACAUAAAGACAGUGACAGAGUACAAGAUAGAUGAGGAUGGCAAGAAGUUCAAGAUUGUCCGCACCUUCAGGAUUGAGACCCGGAAGGCUUCCAAGGCUGUCGCAAGGAGGAAGAACUGGAAGAAGUUUGGGAACUCAGAGUUUGACCCCCCCGGACCCAAUGUGGCCACCACCACUGUCAGUGACGAUGUCUCUAUGACGUUCAUCACCAGCAAAGAGGACCUGAACUGCCAGGAGGAGGAGGACCCCAUGAACAAACUCAAGGGCCAGAAGAUCGUGUCCUGCCGCAUCUGCAAGGGUGACCACUGGACCACCCGCUGCCCCUACAAGGACACGCUGGGGCCCAUGCAGAAGGAGCUGGCUGAGCAGCUGGGCCUGUCUACCGGCGAGAAGGAGAAGCUGCCGGGAGGUGCGGGGCUGGGGAUGGGGGCUGCCGUUGCGGGGGCGGGAGGGUCCUGCUGUCAGUGCACGGGUUCUGUCCCCAGUCCCCACUGCUGCCUUUGUGCUGUCAUCUCCAGCACAACAGCGCAGCGGGUUUGAUGGUGCCAGACUCUCCUCGGGGCGUCUGUGCCUUCCUAAUUGGCUGUACCUCCUAUGGUUGGGAGACGGGUGUCUCCCAUAUAUGUGCGACUUGGCAGCUGUGACUUUGCUGGUGGCCCUGUGACUGUGCUGAUGAGCUGCUGUCUGUCGGCCCCAGGGUGCUGAUCACCCCACCUUGUGUGUGCGCACUGUGUGUAUAGUGUCUCCGUUGCAUGCCUGUGGCUGUACUGUCCGAAUUAUUUGGUGGGAUUUUCUGGUGGCGAAUGUGAGAGUGGAGACGUGCACUUGUCGCCUACCAUGCAAGUGGGACCUGGGCACUGUUCCUGUCGUGUGUCCCAUGCCUGCCGUUGCUGUGGAUGUGAGGCUGCUGUCCCUGUUGCCCUCCUGCCCUCUCUGGAGUGGGGUUGGGGCUCCUCCUCCUCCACCAGUGUCGCCGGCUGGGAGCUCAAAUGGUGUCAACUUCUCAGGUGUCACCUUGGUGUCCUCGUGGCCAACUGGCUGCCUGUGGCUUGGCACAUAGUGCCUGCGCUGGGUCAGCACUGAAGCCUGAGCUUCCUGGGGCGGCUCUGUCCCCACGCCCGCCAGAGUGAGGUUGAACUCGACUGUCUUUUGAUCCCCAGAGCUAGAGCCAGUGCAGGCCACGCA
Molecule: small RNA, 1527 nt
Filed under: Pongo abelii (Sumatran orangutan)
Lineage: Eukaryota; Metazoa; Chordata; Mammalia; Primates; Hominidae
Description: retained intron
Source: RNAcentral